UUCCUUACAGUUUUUCACAGCAUAUGGUCCUGAUUAUGUGCUGGAAAUCACGCCAAGCUGCCGGCCAGACCGCAAUGAGCCCCACCGAAUCCAGCAAAUCCUCAACUACAUCAAAGGGAAUCUGAAGCAUGUGGUCUAGUUGACAAAAAGAGAUCAGGUUUCCAGAGCUGGGCAGCAGUGCCUGUAAUGAAGACAGUGUGUUGAUGCAAGCAGUUUGUGGAAUUUGUGACUGCAGGGGGAAAUUUGGAAGAAAUUACUUCCUGAAAAUUUCUAAGGGGCACCAAGUAGCAGCUGGCCUCCGGGGGUGAGGAGGCAGGCACCCUGGAGCCAGGCCUAGGGGGAAAAGGAAGACACCCAGUGUCUAAAGUGUUUAUUUUAAAACACAAAUGCAGUUUUUAAUGUUUCAAAAUUAUUUUUAAGCAAGUUUGGAGGGAAGAAUUUUAUCUUCAUAAAGGGGACAAAUCAGGAGCUACAGGAGAAUGGGGUUGGGUAGGGGGCAGCAGACGGGCAUGUUUGGACCUCAGGGCCAUUUAGAUAGAGACCCGUGGGGGAGGGGUAUCAGCCUACUGGGAGGUAAAGAGGAAGGAGCCUGCCACUUUUGUUUUAGUACUAUGCACUCAAGUUGUUCUUAAUAAAAUUUUUGAAAAUCUA
Long non-coding RNA from Apodemus sylvaticus (European woodmouse), 651 nucleotides. RefSeq lists it as uncharacterized. The transcript is spliced from 2 exons. The record is from RefSeq and is a predicted model, not a curated record. NCBI's taxonomy places the organism in Eukaryota, Metazoa, Chordata, Mammalia, Rodentia, Muridae.